UACGAAGGGGGCUAGCGUUGUUCGGAAUUGCUGGGCGUAAAGCGUGCGCAGGCGGCUUCUCAAGUCAGGGGUGAAAGCCCAGAGCUCAACUCUGGAAUUGCCUUUGAGACUGAGUGGCUUGAGUACGAGAGAGGUGAGUGGAAUUCCCAGUGUAGAGGUGAAAUUCGUAGAUAUUGGGAAGAACACCGGUGGCGAAGGCGGCUCACUGGCUCGUAACUGACGCUCAUGCACGACAGCGUGGGGAUCAAACAGG
This 253-nucleotide ribosomal RNA is filed under the name uncultured bacterium. Its description in RNAcentral is "partial 16S ribosomal RNA". It matches the Rfam family "Bacterial small subunit ribosomal RNA", at positions 524 to 776 of the family's 1533-position model. The record is from RNAcentral.